Molecule: long non-coding RNA, 3485 nt
Organism: Jatropha curcas
Lineage: Eukaryota; Viridiplantae; Streptophyta; Magnoliopsida; Malpighiales; Euphorbiaceae
Source: RefSeq, a predicted model, not a curated record
UCUUCUUCUUGCUUUCUUCCUCGCCAGCGGGCCAGCGCCGUUCCCCUCCCUUCCCGUUUCCGGCGAUCGUUCUACGCAAGGGAGGCGGCGAUCGACUUCCCCAGAGCCGCCGAUCCCUUUUCCGGCCUUCCCUCACGCUGAGCGUACCUGCGGUGGCGCGAGUUGAGCUGUCUCCCUCGACAGUCUCUGCUCCACGCCGUUUCCGGCGAUUCCAGGCCACGAAUCAGAUGCGAUCGACCUCCUUUCCUCCCCUGCUUUUCUUUUUAUGGCUUCAGUCUUGAGUGAUGUCGCCUGGAUCGGAAAAACCCAAAGAGGGGCGGCUGGCCGAAGGUUUAGAUGCGAUUUCCGACCAAACGAGGCACACUCAGCUCCAAUUGGUUGUAUAUUUGAGGUCUUUGCAUGAUUUCGAGCAGUUUGGCGUGCGGGUUGCUCAAUUCUGGGCUGUUUGGAUUUCUCCGACCACCGUGCACGGUGGACGGCGGCCGGCUGGCAAACCUCCGGCAAGGCACCAAGAGACAGAAUCUUCCUCUCAUCGCGUGGACUGUGGAAUCGUCGCCCGAAAUUCGAUUGAUUUACAAUUAUUUUACAGGCUUUAAGUGAGAGAAGUUCGGAUGCCCGGAUCUCGUACACUGCUUUAAAUACUUUCUUUUGACUGCUUCAUAAGGAACAACGCACAUCUGAUUGUAGAAGAAAAUGAGAGCAUAUGUUAUCAGGCUUCAUAUAUGGCGGAGCUAACGGAAAUAGACCAACCCAAAAGCGGAAUUGAUACAACUCGUCAAGUAAAGGAAUUUCCAGACUAUACUUGUUCAACUCCUCAGCUACCUCUCGUCUGCCAUGGCCCACUUUACUGGGAAACCCAACUCCAUUGACUUCUUUAUCUGUUAUCUAUUUGGGCGUCCAUUCUCCGUAUUUCUGCCCUUAUUCUCUCUCUGACUGCAGUGACAGCUGCUUCUCUAGGUCUUCUUUUUCGAUUUCUAUAUCGGAGUCUGAUGACUCCAUCGGCUGCUUCCCUUGUCCUUUAUCUUCUACUUCUAUUUAUUGAUGGCGCCAUUGGCUGCUUCCCUUCUCUGUGUGGAACACCAGUUACUUCUUUAGCUUCGGGUAAUUGAUCUUCAACUUUUUCACUUGAGCUCGCUCUGCUCUCUCCUGCUAUCUGAGUUUCCCUUUUCUCCUUUGCUAAAACAUUUUUCAUUCCCUUAAUCAUUGCGUCGAAGCACCUUCCUAAUUCCUUUUUAUCCUGAACAAAAAAAAAAUAAUUUAAACCAGGCGCUCCUUAUCUAAUAUUUAAUCUAAAUGGAAAUUUAUUGUUCUGAUAUUAGUUAAUUACCAGCCUCACACAUCCAAUUCCCAUUUUAUUAACCAUUGCGUAGAAGCCCCUCAUCAGUUUCCAUUGGCUCUGAAAUGAAAUUUAAUUUAGAUUCAAACUCAAAAUAUUGAUUAUUUAAUUUAAAUGAAAAUUAUUGUGUCUCAUGCAAAUAAAUUAUUACCCAUUUGCCAAAUUUUGAAUCUGAAAGCGCAUUCUUGACUCUUUGAAACUCAUUAGGAUUCCUCUAAGGACCAACAGCAAUUAGAACAGCUGAUGUCGCCAUAAGGGAAGGUUUAUACUUCCGUUAUCAGGCUUCAUAUAUGGCGGAGGCUUGCCUAUCAUGGGCUUACUUGCUUAUACGGCUGGUAUUCCAUUUUUUAAAUUUGCGUUUUUGCUUUUCAAGUCUAUUUCCCUAAAUUACUAAUAUGUCUGCCUCAUUUACAGCCAACAAAAAUAUACCAUCCCAAAAGCAGAAUCGAUAUAACUCGUCGAGUAAAGGUGCAACACUGUAUAGAUAGUGGACUUCAACGAAUAGGAUCAGAACAACCUAUUAAUGCUUUAAACUUCGUGAAAUCCUUUCUGUCUCAAGCUCGAGGAAGACCUAUGUGAACCAGAUAUUUGUUCAAGGCCAUGAAGGUAUAUAUUUGUUAUGUCUGUAAUUAAGAAGAAAAGUACAUUAGUUUGAGCAAUUAAAAUCAAAUUAGACGAAUUAGAACAAAUAUAUACUUUCAUGGGCUUGAACAGGUAUUUGGUUCUCAUGGGUCUUCUUUGAGCUCGGGACUCCAGCUCUAGACAGAAAGGGUUUCACGAAGUUUAAAGCGUUAACAAGUUGUUUUGGUCCUAUUCGUUGGAGUCUACUAUCUAUACGGCGUUGCACCUUUACUCGACGAGUUAUAUCGAUUCCGCUUUUGGGUUGGUCUAUUUCCGUUGGCUGUAAAUGAGGCGGAUAUAUUAGUAAUUUAAUGAAAUAGACUUGAAAAGCAAAAAUGCAAAUUUUAAAAAUGGAAUACCAGUCGUAUAAGCAAGUAAGCCCUUGAUAGGCAGGCCUCCGCCAUAUAUGAAGUCUGAUAACGGAAGUAUAAACCUUCUCUUAUGGCGGCAUCAGCUGUUCUAAUUGAUGUUGGUCCUUGGAGGAAUCCUAAUGAGUUUCAAAGAGUCAAGAAUGCGUUUUCAGAUGCAAAAUUUGGUAGAUGGGUAAUAAUUUAUUUGCAUGAGACAUAAUAAUUUUCAUUUAAAUUAAAUAAUCAAUAUUUUGAGUUUGAAUCUAAAUUAAAUUUCAUUUCAGAGCCAAUGGAAACUGAUGAGAGGCUUCUACGCAAUGGUUAAUAGAAUGGGAAUUGGAUGUGUGAGGUUAGUAAUUAACUAAUAUCAGAACGAUAAAUUUCCAUUUAGAUUAAAUAUUAAAUAAGGAGCUGUCUGGUUUAAAUUAAUUUUUUUUUUUUUUUUUGUUCAGGAUAAAAAGGAAUUAGGAAGGUGCUUCGACGCAAUGAUUAAGGGAAUGAAAGAUGUUUUAGUGGAUGAGAAAAGAGAAACUCAAACAGCAGGAGUGAGCUCAAGUGAAAAAGUUGAAGAUCAAUUACCUAAAGCUGAAGAAGUAACUAGUGUUCCACAUGGAGAAAGGAAGCAGCCAAUGGCGCCAUCAAUAAAUAGAAGUAGAAGAUAAAGUACAAGAGAAGCAGCCAAUGGAGUCAUCAGACUCCGAUUUAGAAAUCGAAAAAGAAGACCUAGAGAAGCAGCUGUCACCGCAGUCAGAGAGAGAGAAUAAGGGCAGAAAUACGGAGAAUAGACGCCCAAAUAGAUUAACAGAUAAGAAAGUUAAUGGAGUUGGUUUUCCCAGUAAUGUAGGCCAUGGCAGGUGAGGAGUUGAAUAAGUAUAGUUUGGAAUUGUUCCUGGAGCCUGCAGAGGAGGGGAUUCUAGCAAAGAUCACGGCCUGCUGCAACCGCUAAGGAGUGUCUAUGCUUUAAAUUUCAAACUGGAAACUUAUAUUUCAUACUCUCUCAAACAUUUUCCAAAGAAGUGCCUAUGUUUUCUUAAAUUGGGAAAUUAUGUUUUUUUUUUAUCUUUUUCUCUUUUGAUGAGAUGUUCUGAUGGCACUAUAUAUCUUAAGAAUGAAAGCUUGCAGGUCGGUGUGUUUUUCUUUUGCUUGAACUGGUGGAGUUUAUGGAUCUCCAUUUUUGC